CCAAACAGAGCCUCCUGCCUAGCAAAGGACACUGAAGCUGGGCAGCGGCAGGAGCUGCGUCUCAGGCUUUAAGGACUACAGUAAAUCUUCAAACAAUUUAUCCAAACAAAGGCCAGCGUGUAGAGAGGAGAGGGGAAAAAAUACACGGGAAGCAGAUGAAUAAGCAACAUCAAUUAUGGGGGGUUGACCUUUCUUGCCCCGCACCAUGGCACAGAUUUCACACCAAAUCGCAGCAGAUUGAAGUUGACAUGCCUGGAGUGAACGCAACGGUCUCCACAAUGUUGCCACUCUGCAUUCACCGGGGCUGCUGAGAAAAGGAGAGGAGGGAGAAAAUAAUGGGGAGUGUAUGUGUGUGUGUGUGAAUGAAAAAUCACACAUAAUGGUCCUGGGUUUAUUUUUACAGAGAGCAAAAUAGCUCAAUUUGAGCACUUAGACGGUCGAAAUUGGCUCAUGUGAGAUACAGAAGGUACAUCCAAAGGGACAGUUGAAUCAAGGUGCCUUGAGCUACGUGGCCAGAAAAAGGGAGAAAAAUUAAACACAGUUUUGGACAUA
Podarcis lilfordi (Lilford's wall lizard) is the source of this 552-nucleotide non-coding RNA. Lineage: Eukaryota; Metazoa; Chordata; Lepidosauria; Squamata; Lacertidae. The record is from the annotation of a GenBank genome assembly.